AGAGUUUGAUCAUGGCUCAGGACGAACGCUGGCGGCGCGCCUAACACAUGCAAGUCGAACGGAGUUGUGUUGAAAGCUUGCUGGAUAUACAACUUAGUGGCGGACGGGUGAGUAACACGUGAGUAACCUGCCUUUCAGAGUGGAAUAACGUUUGGAAACGAACGCUAAUACCGCAUAACAUAGUUUCCGG
This 190-nucleotide ribosomal RNA is filed under the name uncultured bacterium. RNAcentral's name for it is "partial 16S ribosomal RNA". It matches the Rfam family "Bacterial small subunit ribosomal RNA", at positions 8 to 188 of the family's 1533-position model. The record is from RNAcentral.